Molecule: RNA transcript, 1325 nt
Organism: Glycine soja
Lineage: Eukaryota; Viridiplantae; Streptophyta; Magnoliopsida; Fabales; Fabaceae
Exons: 5
Source: RefSeq, a predicted model, not a curated record
AUAUAUUAGGUGGGAGUGACAGGUUUCCCUACCCCGUCAUCUUCUUCGCAUUAGGGUUCUUCUCGUUCCCUCAAAUUCUGAGAAUUUGACCACCAAUUAUUACUGCGUUUUAAAAUCUGACAUUUGUCCGUAUCCAACGAUUCAGCAGAAGAUCGAAAUUCUUCGGCGUCUUCGGUUCGGUUACGGUUCUACGUGGACAAUUACGUAUGGCUUCAUCCUCGAUAAUCACUCCCGAAGAUGUGUUGGAGUCGCUGAUGAACGACGGCACAAUUGAUGCCCUCAGACUGAAGAUCAUCAACCAGCUCAAAGCCAAUGAGGAAUUGAAGAGUACUACUAUAAAGAUGGCUGAGCAGAGUAAGGUUCUGAACACCCCUGGGGCUGAGAAACAGACCAAAAGAGAGCUCUUUGACGCACUUCGGCAAGAACUUGAAGCUUCUGUACUUGAAAAAGCCUCAAAAUCAGUUUGGGAUUUAAUUUUAGACAAUAAUGGCCUGGGUAAGGAGAUUAGUGAAACGGUUGAGCGAGUGUUUUGUCGAUUGAGUGGCCAGGAACCUCCAUUAUUUCCACUUCCGAAUGGAGAACCACAACCUGAUAAGGAGACUGACAACAGAAAAGAAAAAGGAAAGCAGAAGGAAAAUGAAAACACAAAUUCAAAUACUCCAUCUAAGAAAAGAAGCUUCAGUGAAAUAAAUUUGGAUGGAGCAGAUGAAACUGCAACCAGGUCCUCUGAUCCUGCAGCAGUAUUGGAAGGUUCUGGCAAAUCGCCCCUAUCAAUUUCUAAGACUUGACUUGCAAGUUUGACGAGCCUUUUGUAACAGAAGUGAUUGCAUCUGAUUAAGGCGAAUCAUUGGCAUAUCAAGAAAACAUUCCUUUUGCUUUUGGAGUGCGAGAUGUCUACAACUACAAGCUCCGCAAUUGCUUUGGGAAGAUACUUGCGUGAACAUUUCACUAUGGUACAGAUGAAAAGAUGACCACAUCCAGCUUCAACCUUUCAAGUUGGAAGAGUUCUUUCAUCUAACUUGAUCUGAUCAUUAUGGAGUCAGGACAAAAGAUUUACCAAAUAUAAAAUAUCUUUGUGGAUGAAUUCAGCUCACAGCUCAUAUCUAUCUAUCUACCUAUGUAGUAUCCAUUUGAGAAUAGUUUACACUGCAAGUGUUAGUUUCUUAGCCAAUGUUUACCCACCAAAAAAUGAUGGUAUGUUAGAAAACUCAUAAUAUGAACAGUUGAACACACACUACCAUAAAGAUGUGACAGGUGAAUAAUUUUUUUUACUCUUUCACUAACUUUUGUAUUUUAAUGACAUAGAGAGGCAUUAAUUUAUAUUA